This 1252-nucleotide ribosomal RNA is filed under the name Bacillus tequilensis. RNAcentral's name for it is "bacterial SSU rRNA". It matches the Rfam family "Bacterial small subunit ribosomal RNA", at positions 44 to 1286 of the family's 1533-position model. Lineage: Bacteria; Bacillati; Bacillota; Bacilli; Caryophanales; Bacillaceae. The record is from RNAcentral.
GGGUGCUAUACAUGCAGUCGAGCGGACAGAUGGGAGCUUGCUCCCUGAUGUUAGCGGCGGACGGGUGAGUAACACGUGGGUAACCUGCCUGUAAGACUGGGAUAACUCCGGGAAACCGGGGCUAAUACCGGAUGGUUGUUUGAACCGCAUGGUUCAAACAUAAAAGGUGGCUUCGGCUACCACUUACAGAUGGACCCGCGGCGCAUUAGCUAGUUGGUGAGGUAACGGCUCACCAAGGCAACGAUGCGUAGCCGACCUGAGAGGGUGAUCGGCCACACUGGGACUGAGACACGGCCCAGACUCCUACGGGAGGCAGCAGUAGGGAAUCUUCCGCAAUGGACGAAAGUCUGACGGAGCAACGCCGCGUGAGUGAUGAAGGUUUUCGGAUCGUAAAGCUCUGUUGUUAGGGAAGAACAAGUACCGUUCGAAUAGGGCGGUACCUUGACGGUACCUAACCAGAAAGCCACGGCUAACUACGUGCCAGCAGCCGCGGUAAUACGUAGGUGGCAAGCGUUGUCCGGAAUUAUUGGGCGUAAAGGGCUCGCAGGCGGUUUCUUAAGUCUGAUGUGAAAGCCCCCGGCUCAACCGGGGAGGGUCAUUGGAAACUGGGGAACUUGAGUGCAGAAGAGGAGAGUGGAAUUCCACGUGUAGCGGUGAAAUGCGUAGAGAUGUGGAGGAACACCAGUGGCGAAGGCGACUCUCUGGUCUGUAACUGACGCUGAGGAGCGAAAGCGUGGGGAGCGAACAGGAUUAGAUACCCUGGUAGUCCACGCCGUAAACGAUGAGUGCUAAGUGUUAGGGGGUUUCCGCCCCUUAGUGCUGCAGCUAACGCAUUAAGCACUCCGCCUGGGGAGUACGGUCGCAAGACUGAAACUCAAAGGAAUUGACGGGGGCCCGCACAAGCGGUGGAGCAUGUGGUUUAAUUCGAAGCAACGCGAAGAACCUUACCAGGUCUUGACAUCCUCUGACAAUCCUAGAGAUAGGACGUCCCCUUCGGGGGCAGAGUGACAGGUGGUGCAUGGUUGUCGUCAGCUCGUGUCGUGAGAUGUUGGGUUAAGUCCCGCAACGAGCGCAACCCUUGAUCUUAGUUGCCAGCAUUCAGUUGGGCACUCUAAGGUGACUGCCGGUGACAACCCGAGGAAGGGGGGGAUGACGUCAAAUCAUCAUGCCCCUUAUAACUGGGGCUACACACUGCUUCAAUGGACAGAACAAAGGGAGCGAAACCCCGGGGUUAGCCAUCCCCCAAAUUGUU